CAAUGCUUCCGCAGUCGGUCUGCGUGGGUACGUAGAUCACACUCUCCCCCUUGUUGGUAUGCAUCACCAUGAUCUUGCGUGUGCGUAGAAAAAUUUAGAAAUUACUACGUUCCCCAACAGCUGGACCCACCAGUCAGCCCGUGCUUGACUGAAAUGCAUCGCCGUCCACCAGUUGCAUCCUCUGUUUUGGGAAAAAAAGGGAUCGAGACCAAGGGAAAAAAUAGAGUCUGGGUGGGCGGCGGCGGCGGUGAAGCUCUCCGAUUUUUCUGGAUUUCCCCGUCUCGCCGGUUGACAAGCUGCCAAUCUUCACCAACGAGGCGGCAAGCGCUGCGGCCCUAAUGGAGUUGAUUGGUGCCUCGGGGCGCGGAGACGAUGUAUCGGCCCAUGGAUCUAGGGGGGCUGUGGGCGGUGGAUUUGGUCAAGGGUCAUAUACUCAUAUGGGCAGAUGUUGAAUGGUGCGGCGUGCAGCGAGGAGAGAACUGUAGCUGGUGGUGGUGCCGCCAUGUCCGGGUUCAGCGAGAGCGAGGGUGACAAUGGAGAAGCUCUUGACGAGGCGGAGGGGGAAGCACACUUUGAUGGAGACCAAGAGGCUGUGAUUCAGGAUCAAACUGAUAGUGCUGAUGGAUGUUCUGCUCAAUCUACAGGCAAGGUGGAUCCGCAAGCACCUUGCUGGACAAAAAGAGUAAGAGUCGGCAAUCAACCGCCAGACAGGGCUCCAUGCCCGGAAAGGGUAGGCGCUGAUGCAGUUUCCUUGUAGUCCACGGGCAAGAUGGAUCCGCAAGCGCGAGGGUGGACUAAAAGGGUUAGAGAUGGGUAAGCAUCCACCGUACUGGACGGGGAGGAUCGGUGCACUGGAGCAAACAAUUGCGGGGGUAUGUGGAUAACUUGGGAGAGCAUGUUUGGGAGCGGAUCAUACACAGCGGGGAGUGUGCUGCCGCAGCCUGCUAUGCUAGAUGCAGGGGUGAACAUCCCAUGCAUACCAGCAUCUGGUUCACAGGUAGGAGGGCGGCCAGUGUGGCGGCAGAAAUCUGCGGCAGCCCUACGGUAAGUGAGAGUGAAGCCGACAAUGGAUACGUCGCCUCUGCCACUGGAGUUGGAGACGUGGUGGACGGCGACCAGCUAGCUGUGAUUCACGAGCGCGGCGAGAGUGAAGAUGCAGCAUCAGCACAAUCAACGGGAAAGAUGGAUCCGCGGGCACUUGGGUGGACGAGAGGUAUCAGUAAUCUAUAUCUGAUAGGCUGUAAAUACUCUAAAUGUGGAGGUUGUUGAUUAUGCCUGAAUGAGUGAAUAAUAGUGAAUGGUUGUGGUCGAAGCUGACA
Long non-coding RNA from Triticum aestivum (bread wheat), 1319 nucleotides. RefSeq lists it as uncharacterized. The record is from RefSeq and is a predicted model, not a curated record. The transcript is spliced from 4 exons. NCBI's taxonomy places the organism in Eukaryota, Viridiplantae, Streptophyta, Magnoliopsida, Poales, Poaceae.